Molecule: ribosomal RNA, 445 nt
Filed under: uncultured bacterium
Lineage: Bacteria
Description: partial 16S ribosomal RNA
Rfam family: Bacterial small subunit ribosomal RNA
Source: RNAcentral
GUGAGGAAUAUUGGUCAAUGGACGGAAGUCUGAACCAGCCAUGCCGCGUGCAGGAAUAAGGUCCUAUGGAUUGUAAACUGCUUUUAUUCGGGAAUAAACCUCUUUACGUGUAGGGAGCUGAAGGUACCGAAGGAAUAAGCACCGGCUAACUCCGUGCCAGCAGCCGCGGUAAUACGGAGGGUGCAAGCGUUAUCCGGAAUCAUUGGGUUUAAAGGGUCCGCAGGCGGACUAUCAAGUCAGAGGUGAAAUCCCACAGCUUAACUGUGGAACUGCCUUUGAAACUGAUGGUCUUGAAUUAAGUGGGCGUUGGCGGAAUAUGACAUGUAGCGGUGAAAUGCAUAGAUAUGUCAUGGAACACCGAAAGCGAAGGCAGCUAACGAUACUUAUAUUGACGCUCAUGGACGAAAGCGUGGGUAGCGAACAGGAUUAGAAACCCCAGUAGUCC